CUUUGGAGCUUCCACCUUGGCUUUGUUUCUGUAUCUGACUUGCUCUUUAUGAACCUUGGAACUUUCCUUCAACCAUGUCUACUGUCUGGCCCUCUUAGAUUGGAAGCCUUCCCAUUGACCUUCACCUUUUGGAUCACGGAACUGCCUUUUGACUAUGACUUCAGCCUUGCCCUCUUCUGGAUUGGAAACCUACUUGCCUACCUUUGGUUACUAACCUCGGAACUGGACUUGGAACUUGACUCUCAUCUAGCCCUCCUAAGGCAUCUUAUUUAAAAGAAUGGAAGCCAAAUGUCCCCUCUAUCAGCUGUUGGCUUGUCCCAGAUGUUUACAUAUACAGUAGUUGUUUAUUGGGGAGGGGGGAUAACAUCUAUAUAAGUAAAAAUUGCAAAGUCAUGUUUUGAUUUCUAAAGUUCACUUUAGAAAUGCUUAUCCAUUGUAAGCUGUAAUACACAUCUAUAAAAACAAUAUUUAUACAUUCUUAGUGUCUAGAAUUGUUUAACGAAUAUGUGAUACUACAGAUACCUAAAUUAAAUAAUGCAAGAACUCACAAAUUCAUUUACAGGUAACUGAGAUAGAAAUAUCUUGCACAAGACUAGAAAAAAUGGUAGGGACAAAUACAAAAUUAACAAGUGUAUGUAUGUUUUUGGUUUUUGGCAAGACAGGCUAGUUAGGGGUAGUGUGGUGUAAAAAAUUAAAAAUGUACAAACAAGGCAUGUUUAAGAUCUAGGAAGUAAAAUUCUAAUGCCUCAACAUCGUAUGCAAUAGAGUAGACCUUGGCAUUAAUCAUUAUACACAGUAUCACAAAGGAAAUGUACACUGAAACUGACAGUUUGAAAUGUUUAAUGAUUGAUUUGUAAGG
This is a non-coding RNA of Lepisosteus oculatus (spotted gar), 859 nucleotides long. The record is from RefSeq and is a predicted model, not a curated record. NCBI's taxonomy places the organism in Eukaryota, Metazoa, Chordata, Actinopteri, Semionotiformes, Lepisosteidae.